UUUAAAUGAUGAAACGUUUUAAAAUCCAUUCUGAAUGUACGUUUUUGAUGUACUUUAAUAUGAGCUUUUUAACACUGAUUUGAU
RNAcentral lists this small nucleolar RNA (84 nucleotides) under Euroglyphus maynei. Lineage: Eukaryota; Metazoa; Arthropoda; Arachnida; Sarcoptiformes; Pyroglyphidae. The record is from RNAcentral.